Molecule: ribosomal RNA, 398 nt
Filed under: uncultured Sordariomycetes
Lineage: Eukaryota; Fungi; Ascomycota; Sordariomycetes
Description: partial small subunit ribosomal RNA
Rfam family: Eukaryotic small subunit ribosomal RNA
Source: RNAcentral
GCUUGUCUCAAAGAUUAAGCCAUGCAUGUCUAAGUACAAGCCUCAGUAAGGUGAAACCGCGAAUGGCUCAUUAAAUCACACCUAAUCUACUGGAAAGUUACUAGUUACUUGGAUAACUGAGGUAAUUCUUGAGCUAAUACAUGCUAAAAACCCCGACUUCGGAAGGGGUGUAUUUAUUAGAUACAAAACCAAUGCCCUUCGGGGCUCCUUGGUGAUUCAUGAUAACUAUACGAAUCGCACGGCCUUGCGCCGGCGAUGGUUCAUUCAAAUUUCUUCCCUAUCAACUUUCGAUGUUUGGGUAUUGGCCAAACAUGGUUGCAACGGGUAACGGAGGGUUAGGGCUCGACCCCGGAGAAGGAGCCUGAGAAACGGCUACUACAUCCAAGGAAGGCAGCAGG